RNAcentral lists this ribosomal RNA (914 nucleotides) under uncultured Spiroplasma sp. Its description in RNAcentral is "bacterial SSU rRNA". It matches the Rfam family "Bacterial small subunit ribosomal RNA", at positions 20 to 929 of the family's 1533-position model. Lineage: Bacteria; Bacillati; Mycoplasmatota; Mollicutes; Entomoplasmatales; Spiroplasmataceae. The record is from RNAcentral.
UGGCUCAGGAUUAAUGCUGGCGGCAUGCCUAAUACAUGCAAGUUGAACGGAUAGUAGCAAUACUAUUAGUAGCGAACGGGUGAGUAACACGUACUUAAGAUACCAUAAUGUUUGGGAUAACUAGUGGAAACAUUAGCUAAUACCGAAUAGGAUAACUAAUCUCAUGAAUAGUUAUUUAAAGGGGCCCUUAAAAGCCUUGCUUUAUGAUUCGGGUGCGGUGCAUUAGCUAGUUGGUAAGGGUAAUGGCCUACCAAGGCAAUGAUGCAUAGCCAAUCUGAGAGGAUGAAUGGCCACAUUGGGACUGAGACACGGCCCAAACUCCUACGGGAGGCAGCAGUAGGGAAUUUUUCACAAUGGGCGAAAGCCUGAUGGAGCAAUGCCGCGUGUUUGAUGACGGCCUUUGGGUUGUAAAAAACUGUUAUAUGGGAUGAAAAAAAUAGAUAGGAAAUGAUCUAUUAUUGACAGUACCAUAUUAGAAAGCCACGGCUAACUACGUGCCAGCAGCCGCGGUAAUACGUAGGUGGCAAGCAUUAUCCGGAAUUAUUGGGUGUAAAGGGAGCGUAGACGGUUUUAUAAGUCUGAGGUUAAAUGCAUAAGCUUAACUUAUGCCUGCCUUAGAAACUAUGAAACUAGAAUGUGAUAGAGGACAAUGGAAUUCCAUGUGUAGCGGUGGAAUGCAUAGAUAUAUGGAGGAACACCAAUUGCGAAAGCAGUUGUCUGGGUCAUUAUUGACGUUGAGGCUCGAAAGCAUGGGGAGCAAAUAGGAUUAGAUACCCUAGUAGUCCAUGCUGUAAACGAUGAAUACUAGUUAUUAGGAGUUUAUCCUAGUAACUUAGCUAACGCGUUAAGUAUUCCACCUGAGUAGUACAUUCGCAAGAAUGAAACUUAAAGGAAUUGACGGGGACCCGCACAAG